CAAACCCUAGCUCCCCUCUCGCGUCUCCCCCAAUCAGCUCCCGCUUCUCCUCCCCCAAGCCAGCCGCCGCCCUCCUCAUCUCCCCGUCCAGCCGCCGCUUCACCUGCAUCCAUCUCUCCCCCAAUCCCCACCUGCUCCGGUCCCUUUCUCCUCCUCUACCCUGUCUCUCGGUUUUCUCCAUGGAUGUACCAUGGAGAGAGAGGCGGAGGGCAGGAGCUGCACCAUGGCUGGAGAGCCGGAGCUCGACGUGGAGGAGUACGCAGAGAAGCGGCAGACCGAUGUUCUCUCCCUCCUCCUCAACGCGCAGCAAGAGGAGCAGAUGGUGCCACCAACUUGGGGGCGACACGUUGGCUGCCACUGCAGAGAUAGACGAGCUAGAUCUACUUGGAAAUCUGAAUUGUAGUGUAUACCAACCAAGUUGCAGAUUCCUUACAUGUUUAGGGAAGGCAAUCAACAACAAGUUCUAGAAAAAAUAGAGGUUCCCAUUCAGGCGUGACAUUAUUGGAGCCAUCUCAUGGGGCUUUUUGUGUUGUCUCCUCAUAUUAACCUCACACAUGAUGCUAUACUUCAGGCCCUCGGGUGCUCGAUGUAUAGGCUAUGUUGUGUUCUUUUGCUUCUCUUCAUUACCUGGUACUUCUUUUUUGUAUAGAAAAUAAAAUAGAUAGUUGUUUAUUCUUCAUUUACUGGUAAUGAAGUUCGAUUUCUAUAGUUGUUCAAUAUAGUGUUUUAUAAGCCAUUACCAGUUCAAAGGCCUAACCUUCACCAUAGGUUGGAUAAUUUGUCAUUGUGGAUAUGGAGAAAUGCUAGGUGUUACCAUCAGGUUAUGUUCUUAUCCAUGAGGAACAGUUGGGCUCCAGCUGUCUCAACACUUGAUUAUUUGUGGUUUAGUUUGCUGAUUUAUUUUCUUUUCAUUCAUUAAUUAAUAUACUACAUGGUGCAACUAUUAUUACGGCUGAUGUUACU
Lolium perenne is the source of this 963-nucleotide long non-coding RNA. RefSeq lists it as uncharacterized. Lineage: Eukaryota; Viridiplantae; Streptophyta; Magnoliopsida; Poales; Poaceae. The record is from RefSeq and is a predicted model, not a curated record.